This 273-nucleotide unclassified non-coding RNA is filed under the name uncultured Actinomycetes bacterium. Its description in RNAcentral is "uncultured actinobacterium contains 16S-23S intergenic spacer region". The record is from RNAcentral. Lineage: Bacteria; Bacillati; Actinomycetota; Actinomycetes.
UCCGAGUUAUCCCCGGCAGUCUCCUGUGAGGGUCCGGCCGAACCGACCCCGUGUUUCCACGGGUGCGACCCACAUGUCAAGCCCAGGUAAGGUUCUUCGCGUUGCGUCGAAUUAAACCACAUGCUCCGCUGCUUGUGCGGGCCCCCGUCAAUUCCUUUGAGUUUUAGCCUUGCGGCCGUACUCCCCAGGCGGGGCACUUAAUGCGUUAGCUGCGGCACGGAAUCCGUCGAUAGGACCCCACACCUAGUGCCCAACGUUUACGGCGUGGACUAC